UCCAGAGUGCUUCCCUCCCUGCAGCGUUACCCCUGGAGCUGAGUUGUUCUUCUCUGUUGAGAGUGGGCAGAAGCUGACACAGCAGAGAACGGCUGUAGAGUUCUCCCUGGAUAGAGAGUAGGAGGAGCCGGAUGGAGGCGGCUGGGGAGGCUCUGGGUGGGAGUUGUUGCUGCCGGUGGGAGUGAGGCGUUUUCUGCUGCAAGAUGUGGAACUGCCAGAUUCCUAAUCAGACCAACACCUUCAGGAUUUGUUUGUGACCUCCAGAGGUUGUUCGGUUGUUCCAUUACCAGAGCUUGCUGCAGGGCCUGGCUGUGCCCCUUCUGCUGCCAUUUCAGCUCUUUCCACUGCACGGCACCAGAACAAUUGGAAGGCAUAACCGGGCACACGUGAAAGCGUGACUUCAGUAGCUCCGCGUUGGCAGAGGCACAAAGCGCUUUUGCUCCGCCGCCCCUCUGCCCCGAGCUGCAGCGACACUACAGGCGAAAGCAGGGACGGGCCCUUCUGCUGCGUGAGGUCAGGAGAGACUGCAGUCUGCUUAAAGCUGGGGAGCUGGAUUUCGAACCUUUCUCGCGCUCCGCGGCGCGUUGCGAGCUGUGCGUGCAGGCGGCCGCGUCUCCUGUAGGCGGCAGCGGUGAUCGCGGUGCGGGCGGGCGCUGCUCCGUGACUCCGGGCCGGGCCCCGCCGGCACGUGGCACAGCGACAGCGCUUCGGAUUUGGAUCCCUAGUGCUUGACUCGCGAUCCCUCGUAAUUUUGGAUGUGCUGCUUUUCUGCACGGGUUCGUGGAGUUGGAGUAAGAUCGUGCUUCGGGACGGUGCAGCACAUAGGAACAUAGAAACAUGGGAACAUAGGAACGUGCUCACGAGGCUGCCACUGGCCCUGAGCAUAUUCACCAGUCUUGAGAGUUGCUGUGCCACAGCUGGAUGCUCAUCUGUCCAAGAACCAAGUAUUUCUCUGCCUUUCCACAGCCUGCAAUGCAGUCAGGAAGCAAAGAAUACUAAGGGAUGUUAGCAGCUGCCAAACUGCCAGAGUUACCACAAGGCCUGACGACACGCUGCUGCUGGGCCAGGCAGGACGGGACUGUGGGCUUGUCUGCUCUGCUGGAAAACAAGCAGCCAGGAAUGGGCAAGCACAAGCAACCUGCAAAGCUUGGUGACCACAUUUCUUUGGUGCCUGCUGUCCAGCUGGAAAAGAGGUGGAACUUCAGAAUGUGCAGCCCUGAGAACCGCAGAGGGAGAUGGGAGCAGCACAGUGGAAGGCAGCUGUAAAUCCCCACAGAAGAAUCGGGUGGGAUUCUCAUUUGUUAUUCUAUGUGGUAAUGUAUUAAUUCCUUCACUAAACUCUUCUGAUUAUUUUUAUUACCCUUCUGAUGUCACUCUGAAUAUUGCUGUUAUCCUUAUAAAUACACAAACCCCUUUCUGCAGAAUUUUAGCCAUCCAACCAACAUGCCCUGUGACCUUGAAGUCAGUACACUCAAUUCGUCAGUCGAAUUGAAAAUAAUUGAGCUUUGGAUGAGAAGUUCACUAUGUAGCUCUAAGGCAAAUACAUUUGAUAUGGUUCAAGGUGUAAGUAUGUGCGCAUAAAAUGAAUAUCAUUCUAAUGGGAUUUGUAUUUUCGUAGAUGGAAGUGGACAAUUUUGACAAUGCAUCUCCAUGCAAAAAAAAAGGUGUGUUUACAAAGGCAAGUGUCAGGUUAAAGACACAAAUGCUGUAUCAUACAGAGGCUUUCAUUAAAGAGAGGAAUUACUUGAAGUAGAUGUGGGCAAAGCGUACCUCUGUGUUUAAUUCACAAUAGGCAUACACAGAAGCCCACGCUUCGUCUUGCAAACCUUGCAAAGGUUUGUCCAGGCAGAAAGAGCCCUGCAGAUGCCCCAGGCCUGGCCAGGAGCACCCAGCUCUGCCGGCAGCAACCUGGCCUGCUGCUGCUGACGGAGCUCAUCUGCGUGGUGAGCUGCAGGGCAGCCGCAGUGCGGUAGGUACUGGAGACACUGCUCUGAGGGAAGCACCUGCAAAGCCACCGCUGCACCGCGUGGGUCUGCUGGGGCAGGAGUGGCAGCAGACAGGAGGGAAUGCAACAUGGCCCCCAGCCACAGUGUUUGAAGACCUGGAAACAGGAAUGCAUCCAUUCUCCUCCGGUUUAAUACAGAAGCUCCUGAUCCUCCUCAAGAAUACCAGCUGUGAGUUGAUGUUAGUGUCGAUGAAUAGCAAAUACUCCCCUGACAUCAAUCUGGAUCACGUUUCAUUGCAGAAGGAUUGUCUUCAAAUAGGCUGCUGCUGCUAUGUUUAGGACCUAUUUUCCAUGCUCAAUGAUAGUGUCUGCUUCUUUCCAGAGCUACAUCAGCCCAGUGUCCUGGCUGGCUUUGGGCCCAGUCCCAUAAGUCGCACUCCCGUGAGUAAGCCUUAUCCAUGAAUACAGUGAGUCUCAUGUCAUGACAAAAAGCUUUAAUAAAAUGCUGUUCUGUGAGCACAAUGAAAAGCCAAUCCAAUCAGUACCCAGAAUCAGUACACCAGGCCCUAACACCCCUAACGUGAGCACACAUGUUGGGUAACCAACAUGAAGAAGCCGAUUCUGAAGACCUACCUAGAUAAUAUAUUUAUUCUUUUCAAUACAUAAAUCCUGAACAGGGCUCUGGAAAUUGGAAUUGUGAAAAUAAUUAUGGUGAUGAUAAUGAUAAAUUUAAAAUGCUUUCCAGACCAGAAGCUGAGGAAAUCUCUAGAGAGGUCUUUUGGUGGAGUUCAUAAAUCUUAACACCAUUUUUAAUUAAGUAUUAGUUAUUUCAUAAUCUACAUUGCUUACUUAGCAACUGCUUUGGUACUGAGUAUGCCAUCCUGGCUACCUACGUUUUUGCCGUAGGCCAGGAUCUCAGAACUCCAUUUGUAUCAUCUGUCAUCCCCAAUCUGCCUACAUUGCUAUUCUAUAGCUGCAGAUCUCAAGAUGAUGAGCAAUGCUGGAUAUUCAUCAACCUUAUUUAAAAAAUGGAGUAACUAUGAUGUAAUGAGAUUAAGAAAUUUGGUUGAUGCCAUUGAGCGCAUUAGCAUCCAUACAAAGAUUAGAAGACAUUUCCCUAUUCCUGGCACUGCUCGUAACCCCCCGGAUAUGAGGGCCCGAGCCACUUCUUACUGCCAUUUGCUGUUUCAGCAAACUGGGGCACUGAAGGAGGCAUUAAUUCACUCUUCAGGGGUUUUAAGAAACUUUUAUAUGACUGAAAGAGGACUUCAGAUGCCUCGAAGAAGCGAGAAUGCUGGCACUAGCAUGGCACUCCAGGGACUGAAACUCAGUCUGCAAAAGCUCAUACGAAUUCAAAAGAAGGAGAAUUGUAUUUAUGGAGAACUGAUGCUCUGCAUAUAGAAGUGUGUGUUUUGGUAGACACUGUGAGCUUCAGGAAGCCAUUGAGGGGAAUAAAAUACAAAUAUACAGCCAUGAUAUUUUAUGAUAUUUCCUUUCUUAGGCCUUUUUGGAGGUUAUCACAUCUUUGGUGGGUAUUUGGCAUAGGGUUAAGUGAACUCAUGAGGAAAAUGUAAAGGGAGGAAAUUGAAGCAACUGAUUAUGCAGAUUCUGUAAUUUUCAUAAUUAUCCACUGGGGACUUCUCAGGUCCUUUGUGUUACAGAAGUCAGGUUUUGCAGUCAGAAUGUACACAGUCUCUAUGACUUCCAUGUGAUAGUGCAGUUGUUCCAGACAGAUAUCUAUUCAGUCAAGAGCAAAAAAUGAUGUUAGCUGUAUUCAGUGAAUUUGGAAGUACCGUUGACAUCAAAGUUCUUUGCCUCUGGUGGGUUUUUUUAAGCACCCAUACAAAGCACUAUUUUAAAUUUUUAAGAAACUCAAAUAUAAGAUAUGAAGGCAAAUGCUGCUACAUUAUUCUAUUCUUUUAGAAUUUUUGAACAUAAGCUUACAGUUCUAACACAUCAUUAACGUCCAUGCCUUCCAUGAUGUUCUGGAACUUUCUCUUUGCAACACAGCAUGGAAAAGGCUGAGGAUAAGUGGUUGCAAGUUUACAGAUUGUAAGAGAUGUGAUGUGAGCUCGUAAUUCAGGUUCUGUGUCAUCUGUGGGAAAAACCAUAGAAUGCUCAUCGCUACUCCUCGCACACACCCAGAUGUGGUAUCAGAUUCUGAUCUCUUUAAUCAUUAAAACUUUUCAUUAUUAUUUGAAUCAGCGCGCUGUCUGGAGAGAUUCUUGCAGAGCAGAAUGUUACUUUGCUGUGUGUUCCCACCUCCUGCUCUGCACUGGUAAAUGUCUGAAAGACGAGUUAUUAUGUGAUAUUCCGUGUAAAUCUGACUUCAAAAGCAGAUGAAGGAUUGUCUUGCAGUCACGCUCCUACCACCAGCACUCUGUCAUAAAGCUUUUUCUUUGACAGCCAAGUGGGCAAGUACUCGUAACUGCUGCCCAGUGGAGCUCCCCUGAGUUGGGCUGGGGGUCAGUGGGGACAGCGAGGGUGUGGUUUUUCAUUCUUGUAUUUCUGCAAGAUGAUUUUGAAAGGUGUUGUCUAACAAUUUACAGAUCACAGACAGGGUUAGAGGGUUCCUACUUGUGUGAAACUCUAUGAUUCAUGGAAAGAUGCAAUACGCCUUACACGUUCUACAGGAUGAAGUCAUUAGAACCCAUCACAUCAUUUUAGCAUCUGAUAGCAUUAGCUUUCAAAACGUGUGCUUAGAUUAGCUUGCAGAAAGUGUAAACUCAUAGGCUUCUGUGGCAACUCUACUGUCUGAUGAGAAAAGUGGGAGCUCGGUGCAGAAGCAUUGGACUGCAUCACAGGGAGCGUGGCCAGCAGGUCGAGGAGGUGAUCCUGCCCUCUGCUCUGUGCUGUGGGGCCUCACCUGGAGCACUUCAUCCAGAUGUGGAGACCUCAGGGCAAGAGAGACACAGAGCUGUUAGAGUGUGUCUGGAGGAGGGCCACAAAAAUGAUGUCAGGGAUGGAACACCUCUCCUGCCCUGGGGACAGGCUGAGAGCUGGGGCUGUGCAGAAUGGAGAGGGGAAGGCGCUGGGGAGACCUGAGAGCAGCCUGUCAGUACCUAAAGGAGCUGUAAGACAAAGGGGACAGACUCAUUAACAGGAUGUGUUGUGACAGGACAAGGGGAAAUGGUUUCAAACUGAAGAAGGGCAGAUUUAGGCUGGAUAUAAGGAAGAAGUUUUUUUACAAAUGGGUGGUGGGGCACUGGCACAGGUUGCUCAGAGGUGAGUGGUUGUCCCAUCCCUGCAGACAGCCAAGACAGCCUGCAUGGGGCUCUGAGCACCUGAUGGAGCAGCGGGUCCCCUUUCACUGCAGAAGAGUUGAA
Tympanuchus pallidicinctus (lesser prairie-chicken) is the source of this 5271-nucleotide long non-coding RNA. RefSeq lists it as uncharacterized. Lineage: Eukaryota; Metazoa; Chordata; Aves; Galliformes; Phasianidae. The transcript is spliced from 7 exons. The record is from RefSeq and is a predicted model, not a curated record.